This 289-nucleotide ribosomal RNA is filed under the name uncultured Endozoicomonas sp. RNAcentral's name for it is "partial 16S ribosomal RNA". It matches the Rfam family "Bacterial small subunit ribosomal RNA", at positions 1093 to 1382 of the family's 1533-position model. Lineage: Bacteria; Pseudomonadati; Pseudomonadota; Gammaproteobacteria; Oceanospirillales; Endozoicomonadaceae. The record is from RNAcentral.
CGAGCGCACCCUUGUCCUCAGUUACCAGCACGUUAUGGUGGGCACUCUGGGGAGACUGCCGGUGACAAACCGGAGGAAGGUGGGGACGACGUCAAGUCAUCAUGGCCCUUACGGCCAGGGCUACACACGUGCUACAAUGGUGCAUACAGACGGUCGCCAAGCCGCAAGGUGGAGCUAAUCUGAGAAAGUGCAUCGUAGUCCGGAUUGGGGUCUGCAACUCGACCCCAUGAAGUCGGAAUCGCUAGUAAUCGUGAAUCAGAAUGUCACGGUGAAUACGUUCCCGGGCCUU